AAAAGUUAAAACCAUAGACAUUGUCCCUACCCUUGUCUGUUCCUACUACAUGACACAGACAUUGGCCAUUUAAGUAGUUCCAAGUUCAAAUCCUACCAGACAAUAUAGAACCUGAUGGUCAAAUUUAAAGUAUAGCCAAACAUUGUACAGGCAUAUCUUCAGCACAGUUGCAAGAUCGGUGGAUUCGAUUAGUGAGCUGGAGAAAUGUCCUCUAAACUUCUCCACAAGAACUCGAUGAUAUCAGUAGUAAGGGUUGAUCUUUUCUUAUUCUCAAAUGCAAGUGAUGCAGCCCUUCUAAGUAAAGCAGAUCCAG
This 313-nucleotide unclassified non-coding RNA is filed under the name Hevea brasiliensis (rubber tree). The record is from RNAcentral. Lineage: Eukaryota; Viridiplantae; Streptophyta; Magnoliopsida; Malpighiales; Euphorbiaceae.